CAUGAAGUUGGUAGCUUAUUGAUGAUGAUGAUGAUGAUGUGGAGCUGGCUUCGGAAGACCUCAAUCUGCACAAUUGUUCGUCAACUUCUUGAAUGAGAGGGUGUGACCUGGAAGGGAAGCUGUUAGAGCGAGUGUGGUAAGCCAUUUCUUUCUCGUGGUUUGUGGUGAUAGAAAACUUUGUAGUUGAUGUACAAUUGAAACUGAUGAGUUCUCUCUUCAUACAUCUGCUUCAUAUAUAGUGCAAGUUUAGGAAGGAAACAAGGUAUCUCAUCCACUUUAAACAAUAAUUCAAUAUUAAGAGGUAGCAUGAUUUUGAUCUGGAUCUAUAUGUUCUGCAGCCAAUGUUCAAGCAAUGUCUCUCAUUAACCAGCAUACCAACUCAUGAUAUGAUUCAUUUUGCAUUUAAAUUCUGGAUAUAGCUACUUUCACAGGAACUCAUAAAUUAAAUAUGCAAUAGCAUGAGUGGGAUUGACACUUUGUCCUCUAAUACAUGCACGCGGAAGCAAAAACCAUCCAUCUCAAUUAUGCUGAUUAAUUUAUGUGAUUUAAUUCAUAUUUUGCAGCGGUCCUUCACUUGUUUGUUUCGAAAGAGGAGGCAAGAUCUGCGAUUCUGCAAUGAAUGAAAUUAUUGGCAGGUGGCUUAGCGAACAAGAUGAACUGGACUGUUCCCUCAACAGAUGAAAACCAGCACUAUUCUGGCUAUCAUCAGAAGGGUGUUUCAGUAGAUGCUGUAGAGUAUGUUUUCAUACUUAACUCUUGUGAGUGAUAAACUCAGUUAUUAUAUGGACAUGUUCAAAGGGUUUUAAAUUAAAUUCUUAUAUGAUGUUAGUCAUUAACUUUUACCUGAAAAGAUAGAGGUUAAGUCGGUGAUCCUUCCAGCAUUAAUAUGCUCAGAACCUAACAUGUAGUGUUUAUCUCCCAACCAAUUAUCUCCCAAUUAAUUAGAUAAAACCAGUUUCUUUAAUAUUCUUUUUACCAAAAGAAAUUAUGAACAUAUUAAUCAGCAUAAAUAAAGUUUUCAACAGAUCAAGCUAGAUAAUAUGUGUUUGCCCCCUAAGAACAGUAAGGCAGCCAGCACUAAUCCACUGCGUAAGCGUUCAAGAAUUAAGCCCUGAUCCUUUUAACAUCACUAAUGUAUGUUGAUUAUUGAUUAUAUCCCUUGAGACAAUUGGAAUCUUCCAGCCUUGACAUUAUAUCAUUUGAAUUAAUCCCAUAGCCAUGUGACCUCAAUUAUGAUCUCAAAAUUUUUGAAUUACUUCUCAGCAUUGUACAUUUGGAAGUUACAGUUAAACCUUCCAUCUUCUGAUUGGAUACUACAAUUCUACAAAACAUUGUUUUGUUUUCUCAAUUAAUUUUCUGGAUCGAUACCCAGGAUAGGAUGAUUACAGGAACGUUUAUGAGGCUAAUGGGUGAAUUUUAGUACAGUAUUUAUUAACCAUUGGGGAUCAUAAAAAAUGAAGGUUUUUGAACUAAGAAUCACGAGUUGUGGCAAUGUAAGCAGAAGAGUUUCACUAUGUAUAUUAAUCUGAUUUCAGAAGAGGUAUACAUGUAUAUAUGGAUGUAUUUCUAUGUUCAAAAUGGGUCUAAGUUCUAAUAACUAGUGGUUUAAGAUGUUGAGGAGGGAGACUCUUGUUUUGAUCAAUUGCCUAAUUAGGCACUCGAGUCCUUCUUCUUGGUCUUGAAUGCAUGAAUUCAGAUUGUUAAGCUGGUUGUGUGCAUUGUCUAAAUUCUUUUAUGACUUCAAUGCAGCAUCCACUUGUGCAAAUUCGUUUACUUCCAUUUCUUCCUCGCAAGCUAUUCUUUUAGACUGCACCAUCUUAGAAACCAAAGACCAGCUGCAAGGCUUUGACUUUGGCCCAGAGAUGAAGGACAAAACUGAUUCCAAC
This 1886-nucleotide long non-coding RNA is filed under the name Fragaria vesca (wild strawberry). RNAcentral describes it as "long non-coding RNA (FVES_LNC000590)". The record is from RNAcentral. Lineage: Eukaryota; Viridiplantae; Streptophyta; Magnoliopsida; Rosales; Rosaceae.